AAAAUGUAAGAAAGGAGAGAAGGUUUAGCACUCCUCUUGAUAAGGAUGGAAGGGACCCCUGUGGUUUAUACAAAACACAUAAAAGGCACUUGUCUCCUUACUUCGGAGACAGGACUGAUAAGCUCCU
Molecule: small nuclear RNA, 127 nt
Organism: Pecten maximus
Lineage: Eukaryota; Metazoa; Mollusca; Bivalvia; Pectinida; Pectinidae
Source: RefSeq, a predicted model, not a curated record